This 465-nucleotide ribosomal RNA is filed under the name uncultured bacterium. RNAcentral describes it as "partial 16S ribosomal RNA". It matches the Rfam family "Bacterial small subunit ribosomal RNA", at positions 338 to 795 of the family's 1533-position model. The record is from RNAcentral.
CCUACGGGAGGCAGCAGUGAGGAAUAUUGGUCAAUGGGCGGGAGCCUGAACCAGCCAAGUCGCGUGAGGGAAGACGGUCCUAUGGAUUGUAAACCUCUUUAGGCGGGGAAGAACGGUCACUGUGCUAAUCAGCAGUGAAUUGACGGUAGCUGCAAGAGAAGCACCGGCCAACCCCGGGCCAGCAGCGGCGGUAAUACGGAGGGUGUGAGCGUGAAUCGGAAUUACGGGGCGGAAAGCGCUCGUAGGCGGUAUGUCAAGUCAAGGGUGAAAUCCCCGCGCUCAACGUGGGAACUGCCUUUGAAACUGCCAAACUUGAGUGUGUGAGAGGAUAGUGGAAUUCCAGGUGUAGGAGUGAAAUCCGUAGAUAUCUGGACGAACAUCAGUGGCGAAGGCGACUAUCUGGACAUAACUGACGCUGAGGAGCGAAAGCGUGGGUAGCAAACAGGAUUAGAUACCCGAGUAGUC